GGUGGUGUGGCUGAGUGGUUUAAGAUGCUGGAUUUAGGCUCCAGUCAGUUCAAUGGCUUGGGUUCAAAUCCUACCACUGCCA
Molecule: transfer RNA, 82 nt
Filed under: Neotoma lepida (desert woodrat)
Lineage: Eukaryota; Metazoa; Chordata; Mammalia; Rodentia; Cricetidae
Rfam family: tRNA
About the family: Transfer RNA (tRNA) molecules are approximately 80 nucleotides in length.
Source: Rfam by way of RNAcentral